AGAACCCAACAUAACCUCCUUGCAUCCCAUACCAGCAAUACAAUCCACCAAAACAUAGGACGUAGGGUAUUACACUCUGGAGGUCUGAACCUAUCUAAACCUUGCGUCCCUAUGUUACCAUUCAAGUUCUUGAUCUUGUGAUUGUCCCCUCCUACAAAUCUGUCACCUGGAUAACCCUCUGGUCGACUAUCGGUCGCUAAAUCCGAUAGGUACUCUCUUUUUU
Molecule: long non-coding RNA, 223 nt
Filed under: Setaria italica (foxtail millet)
Lineage: Eukaryota; Viridiplantae; Streptophyta; Magnoliopsida; Poales; Poaceae
Description: long non-coding RNA (SITA_LNC005803)
Source: RNAcentral